Molecule: unclassified non-coding RNA, 302 nt
Filed under: uncultured Mortierella
Lineage: Eukaryota; Fungi; Mortierellomycota; Mortierellomycetes; Mortierellales; Mortierellaceae
Description: sequence contains ITS1
Rfam family: 5.8S ribosomal RNA (bases 1-100)
Source: RNAcentral
GAAAUGCGAUACGUAAUGUGAAUUGCAGGAAUCUGUGAAUCAUUAAAAUUUUGAACGCAAGUUGCAGCUCUUUAAAAGAGCUAUGUAUAUUUCAGUGUUGGUAAAAAACAAUAAUAAUACAUUUAUUUUAUGUAUUGAAUUGAGUGUAUAUAUUUAUAAUAUAUUCACUUUAAAAGUAUUAUAUUUACCUUUUAAUUAUUGAUUGAUUUAUCAUUCAAACUUUAAAAGAGUUAUAAUAUAAUUUCAAGUAAAUUAUUUUAAAAAUCAACCUGAAAUUAUGCAAGAUUACCCGCUGAACUUAA